UGCUCUAUACAGACAGAACCAUAUGUCUUUACCAUCUCAUCCAUCCACCAGGGGCCCAGUAGGAUCAUUGGAAGUACUUCUCUUUACUCUACAAUAUAGUAUUCACUAUAAGGUUUAGUUUAAUCAUGGAAAACUUUGCAAAAAUCCUGAACAGCUCCAACUGUUUCUUGUAGAUUUUACCAUGAAAUCUAUGUCACACCCACGUUGGAGAAAUUCUCAGACAUAUGUUUG
This is a long non-coding RNA of Etheostoma cragini (Arkansas darter), 231 nucleotides long. RefSeq lists it as uncharacterized. The transcript is spliced from 2 exons. NCBI's taxonomy places the organism in Eukaryota, Metazoa, Chordata, Actinopteri, Perciformes, Percidae. The record is from RefSeq and is a predicted model, not a curated record.